RNAcentral lists this ribosomal RNA (391 nucleotides) under Ara militaris (military macaw). RNAcentral describes it as "partial 12S ribosomal RNA". It matches the Rfam family "Bacterial small subunit ribosomal RNA", at positions 794 to 1380 of the family's 1533-position model. Lineage: Eukaryota; Metazoa; Chordata; Aves; Psittaciformes; Psittacidae. The record is from RNAcentral.
GCCUAGCCCUAAAUCUUGAUGACCCCAAACACAAACAUCCGCCUGAGAACUACGAGCACAAACGCUUAAAACUCUAAGGACUUGGCGGUGCUCUAAACCCACCUAGAGGAGCCUGUUCUAUAAUCGAUAACCCACGAUUCACCCGACCACCUCUUGCCAAAACAGCCUAUAUACCGCCGUCGCCAGCCCACCUCGUGAGAGCACAACAGUGAGCCCAACAGCCCACAGCCCACUAACAAGACAGGUCGAGGUAUAGCCUAUGAGGUGGAAGAAAUGGGCUACAUUUUCUAAAAUAGAAAACCCAACGAAAAGGGGUUUGAAACCUGCCCCCAGAAGGCGGAUUUUGCAGUAAAGUGGGAUAACCAAGCCUCCUUUAAGCCGGUCCUAGAGC